This 467-nucleotide ribosomal RNA is filed under the name uncultured bacterium. RNAcentral describes it as "partial 16S ribosomal RNA". It matches the Rfam family "Bacterial small subunit ribosomal RNA", at positions 28 to 506 of the family's 1533-position model. The record is from RNAcentral.
GACGAACGCUGGCGGCGUGCUUAACACAUGCAAGUCGAACGGAAAGGCCCUGCUUUUGUGGGGUGCUCGAGUGGCGAACGGGUGAGUAACACGUGAGUAACCUGCCCUUGACUUUGGGAUAACUUCAGGAAACUGGGGCUAAUACCGGAUAGGAGCUCCUGCUGCAUGGUGGGGGUUGGAAAGUUUCGGCGGUUGGGGAUGGACUCGCGGCUUAUCAGCUUGUUGGUGGGGUAGUGGCUUACCAAGGCUUUGACGGGUAGCCGGCCUGAGAGGGUGACCGGCAACAUUGGGACUGAGAUACGGCCGAGACUCCUACGGGAGGCAGCAGUGGGGAAUAUGGAACAAUGGGCGGAAGCCUGAUGCAGCAACGCCGCGUGCGGGAUGACGGCCUUCGGGUUGUAAACCGCUUUCGCCUGUGACGAAGCGUGAGUGACGGUAAUGGGUAAAGAAGCACCGGCGAACUACGU